RNAcentral lists this long non-coding RNA (913 nucleotides) under Salmo salar (Atlantic salmon). RNAcentral describes it as "lncRNA (ENSSSAG00000090072.1)". The record is from RNAcentral. Lineage: Eukaryota; Metazoa; Chordata; Actinopteri; Salmoniformes; Salmonidae.
AGCCAUCCAGUCAGUCAGUCAGCCACUCAGCCAGCCAAUCACCCAUCCACCCAGCCAAUCACCCAUCCAACCAGUCAGCCAGCCAGCCACCCAGUCACCCAGUCACCAAGCCAACCAUUCACAUACACAUCCAGCCAGCCAAUCACCCAGCCAGCCAGCCAGUCACACAGCCAAUCACCCAUCCAGUCAGCCAGUCUGCCAGUCACCCAGCCAGCCAGUCUCCCAGUCAGCCAGUCACCUAGCCAGUCACCUAGCCAGUCACCCAGCCAGUCAGCCAAUCACCCAUCCAGCCAGCCAGUCUGCCAGUCACCCAGCCAGCCAGCCAGCCAGUCAGCCAGUCACCCAGCCAGGAAUCCAGCGAGUCAGGCAGUCACCCAGCCAGCCAGUCAGCCAGGAAGCCAGAGAGUCAGCCAGGCAGUCAGCCAGUCACCCAGCCAGGAAGCCAGAGUCAGUCAGGCAGUCACCCAGCCUGUCAGCCAGUCAACCAGCCAGGAAGCCAGAGAGUCAGCCAGGCAGUCACACAGCCAGUCAGCCAGGCAGCCAGGCAGGAAGCCAGAGAGUCAGCCAGGCAGUAAAGAGCAGCAUUAAGAUGAAUAGUACACAGCUGUUUUCCUUGACCACCAACUUCAAACACAGAGCAGUUUUUUCCCCAAAUAAAAGGUUUGGUCAAGCAGAUCUCCCCGGUCUGUCGGUCGGCAGGAACUCUUUAAGCAUUUGGUAAAAUGUUUACACUUGAUUUAAUGGGGGACUUUUAAUCAAAAUCCCCCCCCUCCCCUUAACCCCAGACAUGCCACAAGUCAAAUGUGUGUGGGUGGCACAUGCUAUUCUGUUGGCAUGGCGAUGUGUUUGAUGUUUGUAGAAAAAAGCUUUUAGGUUUUCUGGACUUUUUUCUGCUGUCAGCUUUGGUCACUGU